CCCUCUGUAAAAAUACAACACUUUACAACAUCAAGGGCGAUGGAAAUAAACCCAAAAGCAACUAGCCAAACAAGCCUUCUAUUCGUCCGUAGCUUUUCAAUUAGCCAUCCCGUCUGUACCUCUGAAAAUGUUUUUUUAAAAAACUUUGGGGUGAGAACAAAGCCACACGUUCUCAGUAGGGAACGUGAAUGCCGCAAUAAACAGAGUAAAUACAAAUAGCUAGUUCAUAUCACAAAAACAAUUUCACUUAAAACAGUUUUAAAUUCCUUUCUUUAAAUCACGUUACUUACACAAAAAUCCAGUCACAUUAACAGUUCCUUAUCCAUAAACAACAUUCCUAAAUACAUUAUUAAGACUACAACACAAGUAAAAUAUUCAUCAAGCACACAAGCAAAUCACCAAAACAACAGCUCAAUCACAAAUGAACAAUAAAGCAAACGCAAUCAAAUGUAAAUGCGCAAACAACAUGAUGCAUGCCUGUUCCUAGCGCAGACCAUGAGCUCAUGCGUCGGUUGUCUACCCGCAACUCGACGUUACUCGGAGUGAACCCCGAAUAUGGUCCCUUUACUGUGUCAAUUAGACACCUUGGCAUCACGGUUACCCGUGUCAAUUAGGCCUCAUUAUAAUAACAGUUCAAUGUGUAUCACAGUAAGGAACAGUGCUAUCAAUUAGGCGAACAUUCCCGCAUUAGCAAUCUCAAGCUAUCAGUUAGGCGGGCCCUUUCGCAUUAGCAGUUUGGCACAAAAGCCCAUUCAAUAUAAUUCUCAACUUUUAUUUCAUUCCUUGUUCCUCAUUCUUUUUCUUUCCCUUUAAGUAUCUUUUCCAUCCUUUAUUUCUUACUUUCUUUCCUUUCCAUUAUGCCUCCGCAUCGUCUUACAACUAAACACACCUCCGCAUCACCAAGUAGCUAAAAGUACCUCCACAUCACCAUGAAACUAGGCGUACCUCCGCAUCACCAUUUAACUUUAAACGUUUCCUAGAGAUAACUUACACACCUUUGUUUAACUAAGUUCAUACAUUCUGCUAAAUUUGGACAUAUCCUUUAGGUCUAAGCCAAGUUUUACCACGUUUGGAUUAGAAUUGAAUUAGAUAGCCAACUUAAUAAAAUCUGUUGCUGCACUAAAGGGAAUUUAGAAAAAAAAUACAGCAAGCAGUUCUGUUUUUAAUAAAUCUGUAAUAAAUUCAAUUCUAAUCCAUUACUUCUAAAUUUUGGUGAGGAUAUACUUAACACUCAUAAGUUUUAGGACAAAUAAAUUUCAGAUCCAUAGCAUCUCGUUUGGUUAAUUAAAAGUUAGUUGGAAGUGCUGCCCUGUUUCUUUAAAUUAGUUCUGAAUUUCCUGCAAACAGCCCAACUUCCAAGAGACAUAACUAACUCUACAAAAUAGAAAUGGAUGUGAAAUUUAUACUCACUUAAAAUAGACUGAUAUAUCUUUAAAACCCUUUUGGAAGCAACUCAAAAUUCCAAAUAAAUCAAAAGUUAUAGCGUCUGGAAGUUGGUACUGCAGAACCAGAAAACCAGAAAAUUCUGCAGCAACCACUAAACUUCAAAAAUUCAUAUCUUCCAAACCACUUGGCCAAAUUUCCUGAAAUUUUUAUGAAGAAAUCUUGACUUCUUGAAGUUUGACAGAAAAAUAAUUUGGAUAAAGAAUUAUGUCUAGAUUUCUCCCAGUUUUUAUUUUAAGCUGCUGCCAAUUAUGCAGAAAAUUCUGCAUUAAGUAAUUUUAACAACCCUUCAUACCAUAUUUUAUAUUCAAGCCUAAAAUUCCUCUAAAACCAUAAUUCUAACUUUCUUUAAACUAACAAAAUUUGCCCAAGAAUGCUUAAUUCAAUAUAUCACCACUUCACAUUAUAGGUGCAACGUAAUCAUAUUAUCACAGCAUCCAUUCUUUAGCAUCUCAUCUAUCACAACAUAUCUCAAGUUAUGAUUCAUCAAAUAAAUUUCCAGCAGCCAUCUCAAUAUUCCAUACUCAAAACCACCAUCAACAAGUACUAACAUCAUGUAUCACUUCAAAACACACAACAUCAUCAAUAAUUACUACAUGAAAUCAUUAAACCAAUCACCAAUCACAGCUAUGAUUCAACUCAAUUCCAACAAUUAUUCACACAAAGAAGCCAUAAACUAUUUGCAAUUACUCAUUUAAUGUUAUUGGCGUUCAUACUUUAAAACCUUUAUUUUUAAAACAAACCCCCUACCUUUAUUUGUCGAACCCGUAGGAACUAACCGCGAUAAUCCCCUUUCUUUAUCCCUUAAUUUUCAACAGCGGCAGCAACCCUCAAUGCAGCCAGAGCAGCGGCAGUAGCCUCAACUCCUUCAAGGCAGCAACAGCGACAACCGCACCAACUAUGAUUAUCCCAGAGAUGCAUUAGCAAUGAAGGUUUCGGAAAUCGAAAAAACUGGAAUUAGAACAAGGAGCAUGUUCGUCAAAUCGAGAAAUAGUGGCAGCAGCUAAACGGUGGCAAGAAUGGUGACUCCAUGGUGGCGUGCAACUCGCCAGCGGCCGUUGCAGUGGCGGAGGUCCCCC
This 2522-nucleotide long non-coding RNA is filed under the name Arachis ipaensis. RNAcentral's name for it is "long non-coding RNA (AIPA_LNC000644)". The record is from RNAcentral. Lineage: Eukaryota; Viridiplantae; Streptophyta; Magnoliopsida; Fabales; Fabaceae.